Molecule: ribosomal RNA, 369 nt
Filed under: Melolontha sp. c.s.syu201336
Lineage: Eukaryota; Metazoa; Arthropoda; Insecta; Coleoptera; Scarabaeidae
Description: partial 16S ribosomal RNA
Source: RNAcentral
ACCGUGCAAAGGUAGCAUAAUCAUUAGUUUUUUAAUUGAAAGCUGGUAUGAAUGGUCGGACGAGGGAGCAACUGUCUCAAUUUAAUUUUAAUAGAACUUUAAUUUUAAGUUAAAAUGCUUAAAUAUAUUUAAAAGACGAGAAGACCCUAUAGAGUUUUAUAUAAUAUAGUAUGUGUAAAUAUAGGAAUUUAUAGGAUUAUACAUACAUAGGCUAUAUUUUGUUGGGGCGAUGGGAAAAUUGAAAGAACUUUUUUUUUAUGAAAUCAUUAAUAUAUGAGUAGGUGAUCCGUUAUUUACGAUUAUAAGAUUAAAUUACCUUAGGGAUAACAGCGUUAUUUUUUUUAAGAGUUCAAAUCGAAAAAAGAGUUU